AACGGCCAUACCAUGCUGAAUAUACCGGUUCUCGUUAGAUCACCGAAGUCAAGCAUCAUUGGGCACGGUCAGUACUUGGGUGGGUGACCACCUGGGAACACCGCUUGCCGU
This 111-nucleotide ribosomal RNA is filed under the name Caerostris extrusa. Lineage: Eukaryota; Metazoa; Arthropoda; Arachnida; Araneae; Araneidae. The record is from RNAcentral.